RNAcentral lists this transfer RNA (49 nucleotides) under Klebsiella aerogenes. Its description in RNAcentral is "tRNA-Ser". It matches the Rfam family "tRNA", at positions 27 to 71 of the family's 71-position model. Rfam says of the family: Transfer RNA (tRNA) molecules are approximately 80 nucleotides in length. Their secondary structure includes four short double-helical elements and three loops (D, anti-codon, and T loops). Further hydrogen bonds mediate the characteristic L-shaped molecular structure. tRNAs have two regions of fundamental functional importance: the anti-codon, which is responsible for specific mRNA codon recognition, and the 3' end, to which the tRNAs corresponding amino acid is attached (by aminoacyl-tRNA synthetases). tRNAs cope with the degeneracy of the genetic code in two manners: having more than one tRNA (with a specific anti-codon) for a particular amino acid; and 'wobble' base-pairing, i.e. permitting non-standard base-pairing at the 3rd anti-codon position. Lineage: Bacteria; Pseudomonadati; Pseudomonadota; Gammaproteobacteria; Enterobacterales; Enterobacteriaceae. The record is from RNAcentral.
CUGACUUGUAAUCAGUAGGUCACCAGUUCGAUUCCGGUAGUCGGCACCA